Bolinopsis microptera is the source of this 609-nucleotide long non-coding RNA. RefSeq lists it as uncharacterized. NCBI's taxonomy places the organism in Eukaryota, Metazoa, Ctenophora, Tentaculata, Lobata, Bolinopsidae. The record is from RefSeq and is a predicted model, not a curated record. The transcript has 2 exons.
CCGAGUUAACAGAAGUACAGAAAUUCACGAUAGAUAACGGUUGCCCUCAGGAUUUCCCACCAGUGUAAAAGUCCCAAUCAGUAAAACUAAAAAAACACCCCAAUGAAGAUCGACCAUCGAGUUAAUGGUCACCUAGUUUCUCUGAAGAUUAACGUGAGCGUAUUCAUUGCCCGAUCACAACAACAACAAUUUGGCUAUAUCUGCUGGUAACCAACUUAUUCCGUGGCAACUCAAAACUUGAGAAUAUUGCGAAUUUAAAUUAUAUUUCGAUGUUGGGCGAUAUGCUAGGUUUAAUCUAACGUUAAAUCCUGAUGGACCGACUAGGCUUGAAUUGCAUGAUUAUCUAAAUAUUUGUGUCCGGCCUAAGAGUUUACCGAAUAGGUUUAAUUUUACGACUAGUUUUUUUAAUUAAUAAUAAUAUCUUUGCUGGACCUGUUUCUACUGUUUAUACUACAGCCGAGUGAUAGGAGCUAUUUGGUAAUAAAUAUUCUACUAUUUUAGACUAUGUAAAGUAACUUACUUUUAAUAAAUUCAUAACAAAUUAUACCGAGAAACAAAAUUGUAUAUGUGAACUGUAAAGUAACUUACUUUUUUAUAAAUUCAAAUUCA